UGGGGAAUAUUGGACAAUGGGCGCAAGCCUGAUCCAGCCAUACCGCGUGGGUGAAGAAGGCCUUCGGUUGUAAAGCCCUUUUGUUGGGAAAGAAAUCCAGCUGGCUAAUACCCGGUUGGGAUGACGGUACCCAAAGAAUAAGCACCGGCUAACUUCGUGCCAGCAGCCGCGGUAAUACGAAGGGUGCAAGCGUUACUCGGAAUUACUGGGCGUAAAGCGUGCGUAGGUGGUCGUUUAAGUCCGUUGUGAAAGCCCUGGGCUCAACCUGGGAACUGCAGUGGAUACUGGGCGACUAGAGUGUGGUAGAGGGUAGCGGAAUUCCUGGUGUAGCAGUGAAAUGCGUAGAGAUCAGGAGGAACAUCCAUGGCGAAGGCAGCUACCUGGACCAACACUGACACUGAGGCACGAAAAGCGUGGGGAGCAAACAGGAUUAGAUACCCUGGUAGUCCACGCCCUAAACGAUGCGAACUGGAUGUUGGGUGCAAUUUGGCACGCAGUAUCGAAGCUAACGCGUUAAGUUCGCCGCCUGGGGAGUACGGUCGCAAGACUGAAACUCAAAGGAAUUGAC
Molecule: ribosomal RNA, 568 nt
Filed under: uncultured bacterium
Lineage: Bacteria
Description: partial 16S ribosomal RNA
Rfam family: Bacterial small subunit ribosomal RNA
Source: RNAcentral